GGGGUUACAGCCUUGCUGAAUUAUUCACCCUUGUCUUUUGCGUACUUCUUGUUUCCUUGGUGGGUUCGCCCACCACUAGGACAAACAUAAACCUUUUGUAAUUGCAAUCAGCGUCAGUAACAAAUUAAUAAUUACAACUUUCAACAACGGAUCUCUUGGUUCUGGCAUCGAUGAAGAACGCAGCGAAAUGCGAUAAGUAGUGUGAAUUGCAGAAUUCAGUGAAUCAUCGAAUCUUUGAACGCACAUUGCGCCCUUUGGUAUUCCAAAGGGCAUGCCUGUUCGAGCGUCAUUUGUACCCUCAAGCUUUGCUUGGUGUUGGGCGUCUUGUCUCUAGCUUUGCUGGAGACUCGCCUUAAAGUAAUUGGCAGCCGGCCUACUGGUUUCGGAGCGCAGCACAAGUCGCACUCUCUAUCAGCAAAGGUCUAGCAUCCACUAAGCCUUUUUUUCAACUUUUGACCUCGGAUCAGGUAGGGAUACCCGCUGAACUUAAGCAUAUCAAUAAGCGGAGGA
This 510-nucleotide ribosomal RNA is filed under the name fungal sp. TA296. Its description in RNAcentral is "eukaryotic LSU rRNA". The stretch from base 136 to 289 matches the Rfam family "5.8S ribosomal RNA". Lineage: Eukaryota; Fungi. The record is from RNAcentral.